Molecule: ribosomal RNA, 540 nt
Filed under: uncultured Pantoea sp.
Lineage: Bacteria; Pseudomonadati; Pseudomonadota; Gammaproteobacteria; Enterobacterales; Erwiniaceae
Description: bacterial SSU rRNA
Rfam family: Bacterial small subunit ribosomal RNA
Source: RNAcentral
GCGUUAGAGUUUGAUCAUGGCUCAGAUUGAACGCUGGCGGCAGGCCUAACACAUGCAAGUCGGACGGUAGCACAGAGGAGCUUGCUCCUCGGGUGACGAGUGGCGGACGGGUGAGUAAUGUCUGGGGAUCUGCCCGAUAGAGGGGGAUAACCACUGGAAACGGUGGCUAAUACCGCAUAACGUGCAAGACCAAAGAGGGGGACCUUCGGGCCUCUCACUAUCAGAUGAACCCAGAUGGGAUUAGCUAGUAGGCGGGGUAACGGCCCACCUAGGCGACGAUCCCUAGCUGGUCUGAGAGGAUGACCAGCCACACUGGAACUGAGACACGGUCCAGACUCCUACGGGAGGCAGCAGUGGGGAAUUUGCACAAUGGGCGCAAGCCUGAUGCAGCCAUGCCGCGUGUAUGAAGAAGGCCUUCGGGUUGUAAAGUACUUUCAGCGGGGAGGAAGGCAGUGAGGUUAAUAACCUUACUGAUUGACGUACCCGCAGAAGAAGCACCGGCUAACUCCGUGCCAGCAGCCGCGGUAAUACGGAGGGUGC